RNAcentral lists this non-coding RNA (27 nucleotides) under Mus musculus (house mouse). Lineage: Eukaryota; Metazoa; Chordata; Mammalia; Rodentia; Muridae. The record is from RNAcentral.
UGGCACUAACUCCUGCCGACUGGCAAA